Molecule: long non-coding RNA, 316 nt
Filed under: Nicotiana benthamiana
Lineage: Eukaryota; Viridiplantae; Streptophyta; Magnoliopsida; Solanales; Solanaceae
Description: long non-coding RNA (NBEN_LNC018458)
Source: RNAcentral
CGCCACUAGAAGAAUCCCAACGUAUCAGCCUCUUUAGUAACUUGAUAAUAACUAUAAGGUAUUUUUUGUAUCAUAAAAACCUAUACGUAGCUCAAGACGAGGGGUCAUCUUUGGCAACUGAAUAGGGUCAGGGGGGUAUCUCCUUGAUUAAUAGUUGAACAUGCUUGAUGAACUUAGGGACAUGUAUAUACAAUACCUCGAGGUACAAGCACUAAAAUGGCAAUUUUUUGUUGUGUUGUUCUAUGAUAGUGGUUUCAUCUUCUAGAUUAGGCACUGAAACUGAUCAUUUUUUUAUUCCUUCAAAUUUUUUAUUCAG